Molecule: unclassified non-coding RNA, 263 nt
Filed under: plant metagenome
Description: partial contains small subunit ribosomal RNA, internal transcribed spacer 1, and 5.8S ribosomal RNA
Source: RNAcentral
UUUCCGUAGGUGAACCUGCGGAAGGAUCAUUAUUGUAUAACCGAGGUGCGAGGGCUGUUGCUGACCCGAAAGGUCGUGCACGCCCGUGUGCCCUCACACACAUCCAUCUCACCCCUAUGUGCACCACCGCGUGGGUCCCCCUUUGGCUUGUUCGGAGGGGGGCUUACGUUUUCACACAAACUUUGUAUGCAGUGUAGAAUGUAUUUUUUGUUUUUGCGAUCACGCAAUCAAUACAACUUUCAACAACGGAUCUCUUGGCUCUC